UUCGCAAUGCCCGAAAGGGUGACGAAGCGACGCCGCGUGCGGGAAGAAGGCCUUCGGGUUGUAAACCGCUGUCGGGAGUUAAGAAAUGCAAGGGUGUUAACAGCAUUCUUGCUUGACUAAGGCUCCGGAGGAAGCCACGGCUAACUCUGUGCCAGCAGCCGCGGUAAUACAGAGGCGGCAAGCGUUGUUCGGAAUUAUUGGGCGUAAAGAGCACGUAGGCGGCUGUGUAAGUCGGUUGUGAAAGCCUUCCGCUCAACGGAAGAACGGCAUCCGAUACUGCAUGGCUAGAGUGCGGGAGGGGGGAGUGGAACUUCUGGUGGAGCGGUGAAAUGCGUAGAUAUCAGAAGGAACACCGGCGGCGAAAGCGACUCUCUGGCCCGUAACUGACGCUGAGUGUGCGAAAGCUAGGGGAGCAAACGGGAUUAGAUACCCCGGUAGUCCUAGCCGUAAACGAUGGGCACUAAGUAGAGGGGUUUU
This 477-nucleotide ribosomal RNA is filed under the name uncultured bacterium. RNAcentral's name for it is "bacterial SSU rRNA". It matches the Rfam family "Bacterial small subunit ribosomal RNA", at positions 365 to 832 of the family's 1533-position model. The record is from RNAcentral.